UACGGGGGGGGCAAGCGUUGUUCGGAAUUACUGGGCGUAAAGGGCCCGUAGGUGGCCAACUAAGUCGGACGUGAAAUCCCUCGGCUUAACCGGGGAACUGCGUCCGAUACUGGUUGGCUUGAGUUUGGGAGAGGGAUGCGGAAUUCCAGGUGUAGCGGUGAAAUGCGUAGAUAUCUGGAGGAACACCGGUGGCGAAGGCGGCAUCCUGGACCAAUACUGACGCUGAGGAGCGAAAGCCAGGGGAGCAAACGGG
This 253-nucleotide ribosomal RNA is filed under the name uncultured bacterium. RNAcentral's name for it is "partial 16S ribosomal RNA". It matches the Rfam family "Bacterial small subunit ribosomal RNA", at positions 524 to 776 of the family's 1533-position model. The record is from RNAcentral.